CCAAUGUGCCUCUUUUUGACUGGCAUGUUAAAUUUGCAUCUUAUUUUUUUCUUCUUUUAGGGGGAAAAAAAGCUGCUGCUUUGAAGUUCAGCAAACCAGAUGGCAGAUAUUCUGAAAUAUUUUCCAGCCAACAAAGUGAGUCGUCUGUCACCUAUUUUAAUAAGCAAUAAGCCCCGUGGAGUCUUUGGUAAAGAAUUGUUGUUUCUGGUUUAAGAGGGAAAAGCAGAGGAGAAAGAGAUUUUAUAGCUGAUGAUAAGAUUUAAUUAGAGGACAUAGAAUCCUGGUGAGUAAAGAGCUGGCUAUGCUUAUUUACCUUGCUCAAAGCGUCAGCCUAAGAUGUUUUGCUGUUCUGAUUGGAGAAGACAGGCAUCCUGGAAAGAAAGAAUUAAAGGAGUGUCUUGUCCAAAGGCACAAAACAUCUUUCAAGAGGAAGUCCCACUGGAGGGGACAUCUGAGAAGCCCAGUUCCAUCUUGCAGAAGAUGGCAUCUAACCAGGGGCAUAAAAGAUCUACCCGUGUGGAAUAUGGAUACUUCAGAAAUGACAAAUAUCCCAAAACCAUGAGUCAACCUACUUUGUCCUACUGACUGAUGCAUUUUCAUAAGGAGUUAAGGGAAAUUGGCAUGGCAACCCAGCCUUCAGCAACCCCCAACCUGAUCAAUCAGUGGCCAUCAACGUGGAAGCAAGACCCUCCACCACCAAAAAGAUUGCAGCUCACUGAAGACGAUGAUGGUUAGCAUUUUUUAGCAAUAAAGUAUUUUUAAUUAAAGUAUUGCA
Molecule: long non-coding RNA, 775 nt
Filed under: Monodelphis domestica (gray short-tailed opossum)
Lineage: Eukaryota; Metazoa; Chordata; Mammalia; Didelphimorphia; Didelphidae
Description: lncRNA (ENSMODG00000044408.1)
Source: RNAcentral